This 103-nucleotide ribosomal RNA is filed under the name uncultured bacterium. RNAcentral's name for it is "partial 16S ribosomal RNA". It matches the Rfam family "Bacterial small subunit ribosomal RNA", at positions 386 to 508 of the family's 1533-position model. The record is from RNAcentral.
ACGGAGCGACGCCGCGUGUGGGAAGAAGGCCUCGGCCGUAAACCACUGUCGAAGGGGACGAUAAUGACGGUACCCUUGGAGGAAGCCCCGGCUAACUACGUGC